Molecule: ribosomal RNA, 253 nt
Filed under: uncultured bacterium
Lineage: Bacteria
Description: partial 16S ribosomal RNA
Rfam family: Bacterial small subunit ribosomal RNA
Source: RNAcentral
UACGAAGGGGGCUAGCGUUGCUCGGAAUCACUGGGCGUAAAGGGUGCGUAGGCGGGUCUUUAAGUCAGGGGUGAAAUCCUGGAGCUCAACUCCAGAACUGCCUUUGAUACUGAGGAUCUUGAGUCCGGGAGAGGUGAGUGGAACUGCGAGUGUAGAGGUGAAAUUCGUAGAUAUUCGCAAGAACACCAGUGGCGAAGGCAGCUCGCUGGGACGGUACUGACGCUGAGACGCGAAAGCGUGGGGAGCAAACAGG